RNAcentral lists this long non-coding RNA (1390 nucleotides) under Androctonus crassicauda. Lineage: Eukaryota; Metazoa; Arthropoda; Arachnida; Scorpiones; Buthidae. The record is from RNAcentral.
GUAAUUUGGGAGGUUGUUGUUCUCGAGACGUUCUGAUUUGUAUUUAAAAGCUGUGUUCUGGAGCGGGACCUGGGGAUGGCUGAGGGGCCGAAAGCGCUUGUGUGUCUAAUUAUUAAAGUGUGGGUGUCUCCCAGAACUGUGUUGGGGUGCUGUUAUCCAAUCUUAUCAACACCAUUUGCUGAACAUUUGAUCAACAUAGGUGACCACCCUAUAGCAGUACCACCUUAUUGUGUGUUUCCAGGAAAAGCCAGUUUUGAAGGAGGAGCUGGACAAGAUUCUUCAGAAAAAAAUAAAAUAAUUGAUAGUGGGAAUUAUGCUGGGCCAGAUCCAUUUGUCCUUUUAUCUAAAAAAGCCUAACAAAAUAUUAUAUGUUAAUUAUCCAUGACUCAAUGCAAUGAGUUAGUGAUUCCUAUCCAUAUGAAUGAUUUUUUUUUUUUUUAUGAAAUGAACAUUUAUGUCUAUAUUAGAUCAGAGCACCUGAUACUGUCAAGUGGGUGUGAAUGUUAAAGUUAGAUGAAAUCAUAUUCAUAAUACCAUUUGGAAUUUUUUUGUUAUAUAUGCUGUUUGAUCUCAGAUAUGUGCCUGUGACUUUUCAGAGACAGAUGGAAUAAUUUUGUUAUAGUUUAAGUUGAUACUUUCUAAAUUAAAAGAACAUAUCAGAAAUGUCAGAUGGACCUUAUGUGAUUGCCAAAUGCUUGUCAUUAAUUUUAUAUUAGAUUAAAAACAUCAAUGAUAGCCAACAUAUUGACAUUUAUCAUUUUAAGGAUACUAACUCCUUACAUUGUCAUAUCAAUUGAAGCUCUGGCAGUACGCUUCUGAAAAAGAUCAUUUAAGAAAUCUUCUCCCAUUUCAGAACAAAUUUUGGAAACAGGAAGAAUUGUAAUGCAAUAAAAGAGCGUAUCAUCACUACAUUGGAGGUGGAAGAAAUAAGAGUGGAAGAAUGAACAGAGGUUAAAGAAUAGAGGAGUUGGAUAGUAUUCUCCAUUCAAACUCUGCUUUUAUUCAAUAAGAAAUAUCAAUAUACAAGCGCUGAAUGCAGUAGCUAAAUUUAUUCUAAAACAAACAAAGCUUGAAAUACCAAGAAGAAACGUCGGAUCAAAAAUGUUUCUUUUUGAUGUUUUGGACUUUUAGAAUAAAUUUAGUUGCUGUAUUUGGUGCUUGUGUAUUGAUAUUUUGAGUUGGAUGGUUAUCAACCCCUGUAGUUGUGAAAUUUUUGGCUGUGUGAUAGACUAGCUUGCUAUCAUUCUAAUAAAUUAAACUUUAAACAUCAAAAUAAAAAAACCAGAAUUGUUGUCUAGAAUACUUUAAAUUAACAGAUUUUUAUUAUUAUAUUGUUUAUAUAUUAAUCAGGAGUAUUUUAACUUUAAUAUGCUACAUUGAUGUCAUAUGC